Molecule: ribosomal RNA, 522 nt
Filed under: uncultured Bacteroidales bacterium
Lineage: Bacteria; Pseudomonadati; Bacteroidota; Bacteroidia; Bacteroidales
Description: bacterial SSU rRNA
Rfam family: Bacterial small subunit ribosomal RNA
Source: RNAcentral
GGGGAGUACGACCGCAAGGUUGAAACUCAAAGGAAUUGACGGGGGCCCGCACAAGCGGAGGAACAUGUGGUUUAAUUCGAUGAUACGCGAGGAACCUUACCUAGACUUGAACGUAUUUGGACAGACCCAGAGAUGGGUUCUUCUUUCGGGACCAUUUACGAGGUGCUGCAUGGUUGUCGUCAGCUCGUGCCGUGAGGUGUCGGGUUAAGUCCCAUAACGAGCGCAACCCUUGCCAAUAGUUGCCAGCGAGUAAUGUCGGGGACUCUAUUGGGACUGCCGGUGUAAACCGUGAGGAAGGUGGGGAUGACGUCAAAUCAGCACGGCCCUUACGUCUAGGGCGACACACGUGUUACAAUGGCCAGUACAGAGGGUCGCUACUAAGUGAUUAGAUGCUAAUCUCGAAAACUGGUCUCAGUUCGGAUUGGAGGCUGAAACUCGCCUCCAUGAAGCUGGAUUCGCUAGUAAUCGCAUAUCAGCCAUGAUGCGGUGAAUACGUUCCCGGGCCUUGUACACACCGCCCGU